AAGUUUCAGAUGAUGGUCCUCCCUCAUUUGUUUCCUCAGCUGGGGCUGUAGAUGAUGGUACAGCGGCUGCGGACGCGGCAGAGGGUGAGGCUGGAGUAGAGGAUGAUCCAAUUGAAGCAGCAACAUUUACUAUUGGGCGAGCCUUGGUGCAAUUGGUUAUUACUGCUUUCGUGUCCCGUAAGUCCUUCGAGCCCUGGAAACAGGCUUUCUGCAGAAAGCAGGCAUUAGCAGGGGAGAGCACUUUACGCACCGGAUGAGUCUUAUAUCUACAUUCUUUUCAUGACUGUCUUGUUGAUCAAUGAUAAUAUUUGCAUUGAGUACCUGAAUUUUACGCGUUUGAAGAUCUUUACUCCAUUGGAACGUUGGACGAAAGUUACGUACACCCCAGGUUCAAAUUGUUCAAUACUUUCUCCUUCCUUUUUUGAGGUUGAAGCGUCGUGUGAUCGGGACUCAUGUUCCGAUGAGUUAUGAUGGGGUACAGUCUCUGGAUUACUAGAAACAGAUAAUCUAUGGCUGUCCUGAGGAACACUUCCAUCAUGAGAUAAGUCAGUAGCUUGAUAUUCAAUCCUAUUCUCUUGCAUAUUUGAAGUUGUAUCAGAUGCAUGUUUUUGGCCUGACAUUAAGCUUUCUGCCACGGAAGAACUUUCAGAUGUUUCAUAUAUGUGCAGAAAAGUCUCGAUUUGACCAUUCAUAGCUUUGAAGGUUUCGCUAUCUUGAAUAUCAGGAGGCAAUUGCACUGUCA
Ricinus communis (castor bean) is the source of this 742-nucleotide long non-coding RNA. RefSeq lists it as uncharacterized. Lineage: Eukaryota; Viridiplantae; Streptophyta; Magnoliopsida; Malpighiales; Euphorbiaceae. The transcript is spliced from 2 exons. The record is from RefSeq and is a predicted model, not a curated record.